This is a long non-coding RNA of Lagenorhynchus albirostris (white-beaked dolphin), 1647 nucleotides long. RefSeq lists it as uncharacterized. The record is from RefSeq and is a predicted model, not a curated record. Lineage: Eukaryota; Metazoa; Chordata; Mammalia; Artiodactyla; Delphinidae. The transcript has 3 exons.
CGACAACCCGCUCGACGCCUGUUCAGCUGUGAGGGUACCGGGGCUCCCAGCCUCCUCUAAGCCAUUGGGGAAGUGAAAGGGGUUCCCCGCCAGGGCCCGAAUAGGAGGAGCCAGCGAGUGCCGGGCCCCUCCCCCCGGGGGCUUACCCUCCGCCUCCGCCUACUCGCUGCAGCCGCCCAGCUUCCUUGCGGAGGAGUCCGAGGCACUGCGUCCAGCAGCAGUUCCCCAUUGCAUGCCGCCCAGGUGCCGCCGCUUCUCCUCCUCCUCCAGCUCAAAGCCCAAACCCAGGCCCGUCAGCCGCAUCCGCGCGGCACGAGCCGAAUGGGGGUUCGGGGACCGAGGGCGGGCCGGCCGGAGCGCGGCGGAGUGAGAGGCUAGGGCGACGGGAGGGACAGGCGCUCGGAACAAAGGCAGCGGUUACUCCAGCGGCCGCCGAGUCGCCGCUGUGCGAGGGAGGAGGGCCGGGCAGCGGGCUCUAGACUCCCUCGUUGUCCUCAUGGCCCCUCGCUCGCCUCAGAUCCCCAAGCUCAGAGCCAGUGACCGCCUCCUGGCGCCGAAAGAGGCCAGUCCCCGCGAGUCGCGCGCCCAGGCCCCGCCCCCGGCGCGCCCAGGCCGGCGCCUGGCCACCGUCUCCGCCACACCCCCAGGCUUUCCCGGGCCCCAAUAGGCCGUUCCCUCGGCUGCCCCGCCCCCUCCGGCGACUGGCCUUACGUCACUUCCGCCAGCUCUUGGUUUCCCGCUUUUGGGUCCCGAGCGUCUCCGGUGUCACACUAUCAAGGCUCAGUUUUCGAACUUUGUACCAAAGCCUUGUGAGCGGCUUAUCUAGAGCCCCGGGCCAGGAGUCAUCAGGUGUGAAGGGGGCACUUCUCUGUGAGUUAAGAUGUAGAAGUACAUGAAAGACAAAUGGUAACAACAAGAAAAACCUCAACAAAGUUAAAAUCAUAUUUUUUAAUGAGGUCAGCGAGGAAUGAAGAAUGAAAGAAAACCCUGAGGAACUGCUUUUCAAAGAGAAAUGAGGCAUUCAUAAAUGAACAGAAAGCCUCAGCAAUUUCCCACUUGGGAGUAGGCACCUGGUCUAAAUACAGGCAGAUGGAGAAUUAGCUUGUCAAAGAUGGAGAUGAGAAGAAACCAACCAAGAUUUUGACAGUAAUGUGGGCUUGUGGGAUGCACAUGAAUUUGGAAGAAGACUAUAGUAGAUUGAGUUUUCCAAAAAUGUCCUCAACAGUAUCUUCCAUCCUACAGAAUCUUUCCUACAAUGUGACAAUGACAUUCCUUCCACGGAGUGGUAGUGUUCAUGGUCCCUGCCUUGAAUCUGGUCAAGUUUGUGACAAUGGUGAAAAUAAUGAUAUGUGAAUUCUGAGGCUAAGUCAUAAAAGGUGUUAUAGCUUCUAGCUGGACCUCUCGCGAUGCAUGACUUUGCAACCCCAACUGCAAUGUAAGGAGUCUAAAGCUGCUGUGGUAUGAGGAAAGAUCAUGUGGGGAUGUUCUGGAUCAUCCCAAGCUGAGUUCGCAGCCAACAGUCGGAAUCAACCCACAAGCGUGUGUGUGAUUGGAGCCACCUCUAGAAGAUUCCUGCUCCCUGGAGGCAGGUUACUUCCAGCCUGAUUCACAUAAUCCCUGAACAUAAUAAAAUGAUCUUAUUUCAAA